This 883-nucleotide long non-coding RNA is filed under the name Olea europaea subsp. europaea. The record is from RNAcentral. Lineage: Eukaryota; Viridiplantae; Streptophyta; Magnoliopsida; Lamiales; Oleaceae.
AUAAUAACUCUUAUUUAUAUUUAAAAGCUAAAAAAACUAAUUAAGGACAGAAAUUAUUCUAAAAGAUUGCAAAGAUGUCAAAUAAAUAGAAUUCUACCAUAAAUAAAACACCUCUCAGAAUUUGAAAAAUCGCGCCCAGAAGUUGUACUAUGCGGUCGUAUAGUAUAAAUCAAUGCAGUCACUUAGAACAAAUAGCCAGCCUCAAUUUUAUCUCGAAAGAAAAUAGACUAUGCUGUCGCAUGGCUUUUAAGCUAUGCGGUCGCAUAAUUUAAUUUUUUGAAACCUCCUUUCCUUGUGUAAACUUUCAUGAUGAUUCUGGAUUGUAAUCAUGGGUGAAAAUUCGACACACGAGCUAAAAGUUGUGCCCGUUUUAAUCCAUGCUGCUCGUUUUUUCAUAUAUCUUCCAAAACUUUGAAUCCAACAUACCAAACAUGAUUUUGCCCUCAUGACCAAUAUAUAGGUUGUUAUUUGGCUUGUUAACUUCAACAUUUAGGACUCUAUAGCUCGAACAAAUAAUUUGCAUGGCUUGUUAGCUCGGAUUAAGCUCCGAUCAAACCAAACCCUGUUAUUAGCCUCUCGUCAAUUUGCAUAGAAGCCUCGUUGGUUCGUGGCCUAUCCCGGAUCAUAUCAUUUACCUUCUUUGAUGUUGAAAUAGCAGUUUAGCAAGACAUCAUCACACUCGUAAGUAUUUAAAAGAAAGUUUUCUUCCUUUCCAUAACUCAUAAGAGAUCUUUUUAAUUUUUUUUCUGGCACCUUAUUCAAAAGGUAAUUCGUUGAUAACACAUCUUUCCCCAGUAUGUUCUGAAGUAACUCAAAACUUACUAACAUUGCAUUCAUUAUAGCAACACCAUUUUGUUGCGGUGAAUGAGGUGUAAUGGUUUCA